UUAGAAAAGUGGGAAUCGAACCCACACCUGAGAGAUCAAAACCCCCUGUAAUUCCAUUUUACCACUUUCUA
RNAcentral lists this transfer RNA (71 nucleotides) under Crinia fimbriata. RNAcentral describes it as "tRNA-Gln". The record is from RNAcentral. Lineage: Eukaryota; Metazoa; Chordata; Amphibia; Anura; Myobatrachidae.